GACGAACGCUGGCGGCGUGCUUAACACAUGCAAGUCGAACGCUGAAGCUCAGCUUUUGUUGGGUGGAUGAGUGGCGAACGGGUGAGUAACACGUGAGUAACCUGCCUCCUUCUUUGGGAUAACGCCCGGAAACGGGUGCUAAUACUGGAUAUUCACUGGUCUUCGCAUGGGGGUUGGUGGAAAGGGUUUUUCUGGUGGGGGAUGGGCUCGCGGCCUAUCAGCUUGUUGGUGGGGUGAUGGCCUACCAAGGCUUUGACGGGUAGCCGGCCUGAGAGGGUGACCGGUCACAUUGGGACUGAGAUACGGCCCAGACUCCUACGGGAGGCAGGAGUGGGGAAUAUUGCACAAUGGGCGCAAGGCUGAUGCAGCGACGCCGCGUGAGGGAUGGAGGCCUUCGGGUUGUGAACCUCUUUCGCUCAUGGUCAAGCCGCAACAAUGGUUGUGGUGAGGGUAGUGGGUAAAGAAGCGCCGGCUAACUACGUG
Molecule: ribosomal RNA, 483 nt
Filed under: uncultured bacterium
Lineage: Bacteria
Description: partial 16S ribosomal RNA
Rfam family: Bacterial small subunit ribosomal RNA
Source: RNAcentral